RNAcentral lists this unclassified non-coding RNA (221 nucleotides) under Glomus sp. RNAcentral describes it as "partial contains 5.8S ribosomal RNA and internal transcribed spacer 2". The stretch from base 1 to 65 matches the Rfam family "5.8S ribosomal RNA", at positions 84 to 154 of the family's 154-position model. Lineage: Eukaryota; Fungi; Glomeromycota; Glomeromycetes; Glomerales; Glomeraceae. The record is from RNAcentral.
GUGAAUCAUCGAAUCUUUGAACGCAAAUUGCACUCUCUUCGGAGAGUAAGCCUGUUUGAGGGUCAGCCUAAAAAAAAUUGAAAUAGUCGCUGUUUCGCGGUUACAUUCGUGGGAAAUUGGAUCCGCUUAGACCUUUCUGUUUUAAGCGGCUUAAAAUUUUCUUUUCGAUUCUACCAACGUUUCUAAGAUUUACUUACACGUUUAUGGGAUCGAUUUUAUUU